RNAcentral lists this long non-coding RNA (205 nucleotides) under Capsicum annuum. RNAcentral describes it as "long non-coding RNA (CANN_LNC018417)". The record is from RNAcentral. Lineage: Eukaryota; Viridiplantae; Streptophyta; Magnoliopsida; Solanales; Solanaceae.
UGGCUCACUGGUUCAGCUAUUUGGCUGGCUGGGUAGUGGUUGGCGGCAGCUUCGCCAAAGAGGCGCGGAUGGGCUGGUUGGAAAUUAGUGGCUGGAGAAGGUGACUGGUUGGAUGCCGGAGAAUAAAGAGAGGUGGCGGCAAUUCGUUUGAUGGUUAUGGCGGCUGGUUCACCGAUAAUAGAAAGAACAGGUGACGUGGCUGGUG